GUGGGUAGUUUGACUGGGGCGGUCUCCUCCUAAAGAGUAACGGAGGAGCACGAAGGUUAGCUAAUCCUGGUCGGACAUCAGGAGGUUAGUGCAAAGGCAUAAGCUAGCUUGACUGCGAGAGUGACGGCUCGAGCAGGUGCGAAAGCAGGUCUUAGUGAUCCGGUGGUUCUGAAUGGAAGGGCCAUCGCUCAACGGAUAAAAGGUACUCCGGGGAUAACAGGCUGAUACCGCCCAAGAGUUCAUAUCGACGGCGGUGUUUGGCACCUCGAUGUCGGCUCAUCACAUCCUGGGGCUGAAGUAGGUCCCAAGGGUAUGGCUGUUCGCCAUUUAAAGUGGUACGCGAGCUGGGUUUAGAACGUCGUGAGACAGUUCGGUCCCUAUCUGCCGUGGGCGCUGGAGAAUUGAGGGGGGCUGCUCCUAGUACGAGAGGACCGGAGUGGACGCAUCACUGGUGUUCGGGUUGUCAUGCCAAUGGCAUUGCCCGGUAGCUAAAUGCGGAAGAGAUAAGUGCUGAAAGCAUCUAAGCACGAAACUUGCCCCGAGAUGAGUUCUCCCUGAGACUA
This 563-nucleotide ribosomal RNA is filed under the name Citrobacter freundii. RNAcentral's name for it is "partial 23S ribosomal RNA". It matches the Rfam family "Bacterial large subunit ribosomal RNA", at positions 2261 to 2823 of the family's 2925-position model. Lineage: Bacteria; Pseudomonadati; Pseudomonadota; Gammaproteobacteria; Enterobacterales; Enterobacteriaceae. RNAcentral also lists the same sequence under 1 other name. The record is from RNAcentral.